GUUGAAAGCAGUCACUCUGUGGGAGGAGAGUUUGGAGCUGGUACACAGAAAGCUCUUGAGCCUGUCUCCCCAGCCCUUCCUGUGCCACCUUACUGCAGAUUUGGUUGCUUAUGGCUGGUAAGCAAUGCCAUGGACAUGCUGGACCAGCCAUGACUGAGAGGCGAUCACCACCAGCCGAGGCAGCCGCCCAGUCCCAGGGAAGCUGUAAACACUGGAGGGUCCAGGGGGACCUCAUGAGGGAGCAUGAGGGCAUCCUCCAGGACAUGCAUCAGACCCUGGCUUAGAAGGUCCUGGAUGAUGCCCAGUGGUGGACCCAAAUGUGGGCUGAGCUGGUGCAGCAGGGCCAAAACAUGU
This is a long non-coding RNA of Pelodiscus sinensis (Chinese soft-shelled turtle), 354 nucleotides long. RefSeq lists it as uncharacterized. The record is from RefSeq and is a predicted model, not a curated record. Lineage: Eukaryota; Metazoa; Chordata; Testudines; Trionychidae.